AGCAAUGCACCCUCAACAGACCCAUGGGGGCUCACGAGCUCCCAGCAAUGAACCCUCACCAGACCCACGGGGGCUCACGAGCUCCCAGCAAUGCACCCUCAACAGACCCACGGGGGCUCACGAGCUCCCAGCAAUGCACCCUCAACAGACCCACGGGGGCUCACGAGCUCCCAGCAAUGAACCCUCAACAGACCCACGGGGGCUCACGAGCUCCCGGCAGUGCACCCUCAACAGACCCACGGGGGCUCACGAGCUCCCGGCAAUGAACCCUCAACAGACCCACGGGGGCUCACGAGCUCCCAGCAAUGCACCCUCAACAGACUCACUGGGGGGUCACGAGCUCCCAGCAACGCACCCUCAACAGACUCAUCGGGGGCUCACGAGCUCCCAGCUGUGCACCCUCAACAGACCCACGGGGGCUCACGAGCUCCCAGCAAUGAACCCUCAACAGACCCACGGGGGCUCACGAGCUCCCAGCAAUGCACCCUCAACAGACCCACGGGGGCUCACGAGCUCCCAGCAAUGAACCCUCAACAGACUCAUCGGGGGCUCACGAGCUCCCGGUCCGAGGCCUCCUUUGGCAGCAGGGACUCAGGAGGGAGAAGAGUGAGCCCUUGGCCACAUGGUUGGUCAAAUCAACUCCUAGAGGUUAUGACCCUUCUCUGCUGUGGCCUUCACCAAACCACGCAUGUUGGGUGGAGGGGAAGUGGCCUCUGUGGCUGCCCCAGCUGGCAGAGUGUGGUCUGUCCUGCUCUAAACUGGGUCCCCAGAAGGCACUGCUCUCCAGAUGGGCUGGUGAGACUCCUUGGUGUGCAGCUGCUUAUGACCAGCACAGUUAGGGGCUGUCGUCAGCACCGCCACUGGUACCUGCAGAGCCGAGUCCACUCCUGGGGCCGGCUGGAUCAGGGUGCAGCCAGGGUGUGGGGCGCCAGGGAGCUCUCCGGGACCCCCAAAGCCAGAUGCAGCCCUGUCCACUCGUGCUCUGUGGACAGAGAAGGCAGAGUCCCAGGACACUGUGCUCAGGAAAGCGAGCUCCAGAGGAGGCUGAGGAGAUUUGGGAGUGCCCAGGACAGCCUGGCCCUGUGCAGGUCCAUGGGAAAACCUUCCACUCUCCCCUUUCAGGGAGGUCUGGGGGCUUGGCUGCCUCUCAGCGGGCCAGGGCGACUUCUCAUCAUUUCCGCAAUGGAUGCAGCCUGGGGGGCUGGGUAGGAGCCUCCAGCCCUGGCCCCUCCGCCCCAGCCCUGGCUAGCGGCAUGACUGUGGGUGAACGGCGGCACCUGAGAGCCUCAGUUUCCCUGUCUGUGAAGGGAUGCACAGUGUCAGUUUGACCCCCGGAGGCUGCAGUGAGGACGGGGCCCAGGAGGUCAGGAGAGCAGCCCGUUUCCGGCCAGGGCACCGUGGUGUUUGUGGAACACGGCCCCACUGACUUCAGCUGCUGGGGCUGAAAGAGCCGUGAGAAGAGUCGAUCUCCCGGGGGCUUCAUGUGUCUUUUUGCUGCAUUUUACUCACACACGACCCUCCUAGUCCAUGUAAGAGAAGAUAAGUUUAUGGAACAAACCCAGUAUUUACUUAACUUUUAAAAUAUAAGCUUCACAGACCAGCGUUACAUAAAAA
This 1614-nucleotide non-coding RNA is filed under the name Pan troglodytes (chimpanzee). Lineage: Eukaryota; Metazoa; Chordata; Mammalia; Primates; Hominidae. The record is from RNAcentral.